RNAcentral lists this ribosomal RNA (401 nucleotides) under uncultured bacterium. RNAcentral's name for it is "bacterial SSU rRNA". It matches the Rfam family "Bacterial small subunit ribosomal RNA", at positions 28 to 420 of the family's 1533-position model. The record is from RNAcentral.
GACGAACGCUGGCGGCGUGCUUAACACAUGCAAGUCGAGCGGGAUCCAACCGGUGGCAACACCGGGGAAGAUCUAGCGGCGAACGGGUGAGUAACACGUGAGCAACCUGCCCCGAAGACUGGGAUAACACCGGGAAACCGGUGCUAAUACCGGAUGUCGUCAUUAGGCCGCAUGACCUGAUGAUGAAAGGAUUCAUCGCUUCGGGAGGGGCUCGCGGGCUAUCAGCUUGUGGUGGGGUAACGGGCCUACCAAGGCGACGACGGCUAGCUGGUCUGAGAGGACGACCAGCCACACUGGGACUGAGACACGGCCCAGACUCCUACGGGAGGCAGCAGUGGGGAAUCUUGCGCAAUGGGCGAAAGCCUGACGCAGCGACGCCGCGUGAGGGAUGACGGCCUCGG